AACAAGGCGUACCUGCGGACCUGCGGAGGGAUCAUUACCGAUGGCCACCGCGAACGCCCCCGGGCGGGAGCGGCGGCCGUUACCAACACCCCUACUUUACGCGUACCUUCUGUUCUCCUUCGGCGGGGCGACCCGCCGCUGGAAUCAAACAAACCUUUUGCAUGCAGCAUACACGUUCUGAUAACUUUUAAUAGUUACAACUUUUAACAACGGAUCU
This 217-nucleotide unclassified non-coding RNA is filed under the name soil metagenome. Its description in RNAcentral is "partial contains 5.8S ribosomal RNA, internal transcribed spacer 2, and large subunit ribosomal RNA". The record is from RNAcentral.